UACGUAGGGGGCAAGCGUUGUCCGGAAUCAUUGGGCGUAAAGCGCGUGUAGGCGGUCCGGUAAGUCCGCUGUGAAAGUCGGGGGCUCAACCCUCGGAUGCCGGUGGAUACUGUCGGGCUUGAGUACGGAAGAGGCGAGUGGAAUUCCUGGUGUAGCGGUGAAAUGCGUAGAUAUCUGGAGGAACACCGGUGGCGAAGGCGGCGUUCUGGACUGCAUCUGACACUGAAAGACGAAAGCCAGGGGAGCAAACGGG
Molecule: ribosomal RNA, 253 nt
Filed under: uncultured bacterium
Lineage: Bacteria
Description: partial 16S ribosomal RNA
Rfam family: Bacterial small subunit ribosomal RNA
Source: RNAcentral